This 1733-nucleotide long non-coding RNA is filed under the name Oryctolagus cuniculus (rabbit). Its description in RNAcentral is "lncRNA (ENSOCUG00000037673.1)". The record is from RNAcentral. Lineage: Eukaryota; Metazoa; Chordata; Mammalia; Lagomorpha; Leporidae.
CUGCUUCCCCUCCCCACUUAGUUCUAGUCCCGGUCAGGGCGCUGGAUUCUGUCCCGCGGCUGCGGCGGUUGUUGGAGAGUGAACCACCCGCAAAGGAAGACCUUUCUCUCUGUCUCUCUCUCUCACUGUCCACUCUGCCUGUCAUAAAAAAAAAAAAAAGAAAAAAAACAAAAAAAAAGGGCAGCGACUGAGGGGGUACAAGGAGAAUUUCAACCUUGACUUUUCAUUUUAGGAAGCAAUCAAUGGAGCUCAUCUCUUUGACAGCAACAAAACCAGCGAGAGAGCUGACGUGGCACCUUUGCAAGGCUGGAAAAUGAGGGCUGUGGUGCCAGCAAGACACGGGACCCCACUGGGGCUGUGCCACUCGUUAGCUGUCGGACCCCACGCAGGUGACAGAGCGUCUCAAUGUCUCUGCUCUUCCUGUUUCCAGGAGCCUGCAAGAGGACUGUGCGAGUGCGGGACUGAGAGCAGUGCCUGGCUGGAGACGGAAUCCACAGAACGCCGCGACCAGCUGGAUGGUGUGAGAGGGGCCACUUGCACCUCUGACCUCCAUGGUUUUCUCCACGUUCUUCAGUGUGUGCCGGGGUCACUGACUCGGGAAGGAAGGUGGGGCCCUAGGGUUGGCACAGGUUUCAGACUAGGACAAUCCUGGAUCCAAAUCCAGGCCCAGGCACUCACCCUCUGGGUAAACUCAUGGAAAAUGGGGAGCUGGUUCAUCCAUUCAGUCAGCUUUCUCUCCGUGCCUACCAAGGAAGCGCAUGGGGCUGGUAGUUGGGGAUCAGGAGUAAGUAAGCCAGGGUCCCUCUUGAUGAAGGCCAGAGUCCACUCAAAAGAGACAAACCUGCAAACGAAGCAGGGGCCCAUGGGGUCAGAAUACCAGAUGGGAGACCAUGGAGGUCACAGAGGGUGCCUAAAGGAGGGAGCGAUGGAUGCACGGCCAACAAGCCUUCCUGCAGAAGAGAGACCGGGGUGGGGUACUCCCGCCGCCCUGGGGAGAAGCAAGCCAUGUAGGGCCGUGAACCUUCUUCCACCCCAGACUGGAGAGGUCUAAAAACCCCUGUGUUCCUGAAUCGCCAGAGUGCUGGGUACAGGUGACAUUGAGGCCCCUGGCCUGGGCUCUGAGCCUGUCAUUGACUCCCCAACUCCAGUUCCUCUCCUUGCUGGGGGGAGGGGGGAGUGAUUUUCAGUGCCCUGGCAGCCUCCUGAGCUUCUGCUUCCUAGCAGCGACCCCUGGCCCAGCUCACCUUCCUCUAGGAAAGAGCAAUUGUUACCAGAAGAAAUGGCCCUCGCAAGCAUGCCAGUCCAGGAUCCUGAGUCUCCACCAAUGGGCCAGCCCGACAAACAGCUGCAGCCGGGGGAAUCAGGUCACACGCCAUCCAUGGGUGGGCUUUGCAGACACCUCUUCCCCCGGAGGAGUGGGCCACUUUCCAGAAUCGUGGGCCAGCAGAAAGGGAGGUUGAACAAACAGGCACAGGGUCGCUCCCUAGCAGCCGUUCUUGUUAGUGCUGCGCCCGCCAGCCGUGCAUUUUUGGAGUGUUACAUACGCGCGUGCAGCCUUCACCAGAGGACAACUAGGACGAGCGGGGAGGGGGGAGGCCUGAGGGUCAGGGCCAGCAGAUGGGCCUCUACUUAAGCAGGUUAGAAGUUCAGCUGUUCCAGGGGAGCCCCUCUCUGGCCGGGCGAGCACGAGGCUUCGCUGUGAGGGGUCGAAUGGAAAACAGGCAGAGGGUCCC